RNAcentral lists this long non-coding RNA (482 nucleotides) under Homo sapiens (human). RNAcentral describes it as "non-protein coding lnc-MYO1C-1:1". Lineage: Eukaryota; Metazoa; Chordata; Mammalia; Primates; Hominidae. The record is from RNAcentral.
GGACUUGCCUUAGGUCCCAUGUCCUCCCUGACCACUGAUGGCCUGACUCCCCCUCACAGGUGGGGCUGCGGGACGUUAAUGACUACGUGUCCUAUGCCUGGGUCGGGGACAGCAAGGUCUCCUGCAGCGACAACCUGAACCAGGUACGUCACCAGCACCAGGUACAUCACCAGCAGGCAGGCCUGCCUCAGCACUCCUGUCUUGUGGAAGGAACAGAGUGCUGAAUAACUUGUCACUCAGAGCUGGGUGGAGCCCAGAGCCCUGGAGCUGACCCCAGUCCUGUCCAUCCCCCUCCAGGUUUACAUCGACAUCAGCAAUAUCCCUACCACUGAAGAUGAGUUUCUCCUCUGUUACUACAGCAACAGUCUGCGUUCUGUGGUGGGGAUAAGCAGACCCUUCCAGAUCCCGCCUGGCUCCUUGAGGGAGGACCCACUGGGUGAAGCACAGCCACAGAUCUGAGCCAGGAUGGGAGUGAAUCCCAG